RNAcentral lists this ribosomal RNA (490 nucleotides) under uncultured bacterium. RNAcentral's name for it is "partial 16S ribosomal RNA". It matches the Rfam family "Bacterial small subunit ribosomal RNA", at positions 30 to 507 of the family's 1533-position model. The record is from RNAcentral.
AUUGAACGCUGGCGGCAGGCCUAACACAUGCAAGUCGAACGGUAACAGGAAGCAGCUUGCUGCUUUGCUGACGAGUGGCGGACGGGUGAGUAAUGUCUGGGAAACUGCCUGAUGGAGGGGGAUAACUACUGGAAACGGUAGCUAAUACCGCAUAACGUCGCAAGACCAAAGAGGGGGACCUUAGGGCCUCUUGCCAUCGGAUGUGCCCAGAUGGGAUUAGCUAGUAGGUGGGGUAACGGCUCACCUAGGCGACGAUCCCUAGCUGGCCUGAGAGGAUGACCAGCCACACUGGAACUGAGACACGGUCCAGACUCCUACGGGAGGCAGCAGUGGGGAAUAUUGCACAAUGGGCGCAAGCCUGAUGCAGCCAUGCCGCGUGUAUGAAGAAGGCCUUCGGGUUGUAAAGUACUUUCGGCGGGGAGGAAGGGAGUAAAGUUAAUACCUUUGCUCAUUGACGUUACCCGCAGAAGAAGCACCGGCUAACUCCGUG